UCCGCGUUCAAAGAAUCGCAUUCAAAGCUCACGCACAGCCGAUGGAGAUUAUCUCCCCUUGUCUUUCCUUCACGGGUUCGAUGAGGGGAGGUUUGUUCUCCGUCAGGCAUACCAACUUGGCUUUGGGAGAAAGUCCCCGGACCACCCUACCUUUUCUGGGCGAGAUUCCAUCUCCCCCCAGAAAGAACGUCAGGACUUGCCGCGAGGCUCUGCCGCCAUAAAAGCAUUCUUCACCGCGGUAUCUUUGUUUUUUCCUCUGCCUCUCACUCUUUUCCCUCCGGGACCGCCCGGGCCUCCGACCUUGUCUUGUCGUUAUUCACAUUCCACUGGCGAUGUUUGCCGGAUCUCUCCCCCCCUCCUCCUUGUUUCUUUCUUUCUUCGGAAGGAAAAAACGGUCGGCCGUGCUUGACGCUGUAGAGGGUGGCGUCUGGGAUUGGAUGAAGAUACCGAGUCCGUCCCCUUUGUUGGGUUUCGGCUAGACGCUUCUCCUCGACGCCGAACGCCGGCUGGCUUGGUGUUGGGGGGGUUUUUUUUCCUGGCACGUCACAGUGGAAGAGAUGGCGAGGGAUCACAUUGGGAGUAUUUGCGCCCGGGCGGGACCGUUUUCGGGGGGGAUGUCAAGAGUGGUAGAAGGUUGCGCAAUUCGUCACACGAGUACAGUUAUGCGAUUGCUCUGUCACUUGGGUUUGCCCCCUUUUUUCCCUUCUGUUUCCGUUUCGCACGGAGACAAAAGAAGAAGAAGGGAACAAAAACCGAGACGGGAGAGUAACUCGACGGGGCUUAUUCUUGAGGCGCGG
Molecule: RNase MRP RNA, 797 nt
Filed under: Exophiala spinifera
Lineage: Eukaryota; Fungi; Ascomycota; Eurotiomycetes; Chaetothyriales; Herpotrichiellaceae
Description: RNase MRP
Rfam family: RNase MRP
About the family: RNase MRP is an enzymatically active ribonucleoprotein with two distinct roles in eukaryotes.
Source: Rfam by way of RNAcentral